Molecule: long non-coding RNA, 292 nt
Filed under: Homo sapiens (human)
Lineage: Eukaryota; Metazoa; Chordata; Mammalia; Primates; Hominidae
Description: PREDICTED lncRNA (TCONS_00131764)
Source: RNAcentral
AGCCGGAGAGGAGGGCGUGGCUUCCGACAUUCCGCGGGGUCUUUACCUCUUGCUCCCGCCAGAGUUUGGGAUCGGUCUCUUCUGUUCCGCGUCCUCCACCUCGGUAGCCCCUGGUGACUCUGUUACAGCCUCUGUUGACCUAUGAUCUGCAGGGAGACGCACAGCCAGGACAUCCUGGAACCUGGGAAAGGGUGUGAUUUUGGCACACACUUCUGCCCAGCACCUUAGUAAUGUAAUUCUUCAGAAUUGGCCCAGCCUACAAAUAGGAUUGUGCCACACUGCUGGACCCAGC